ACCUGGGUGGCUCAGCUAGAUGAGCAUCUGACUCUUGAUUUCAGCUAGCGUCAUGAUCCCAGAGUUGUGGGUUCGAAUCCCACCUCAGGCU
RNAcentral lists this transfer RNA (91 nucleotides) under Felis catus (domestic cat). It matches the Rfam family "tRNA". Rfam says of the family: Transfer RNA (tRNA) molecules are approximately 80 nucleotides in length. Their secondary structure includes four short double-helical elements and three loops (D, anti-codon, and T loops). Lineage: Eukaryota; Metazoa; Chordata; Mammalia; Carnivora; Felidae. The record is from Rfam by way of RNAcentral.